UUGUGAGGCACGGAGGAAGAGGACAGCCCGGAGACUUUCCACACACACACACAUGCUUCACUGGAACUGCGACUCUCGGCAGACGGAUUUAUUUCUCUGUGUGGAUGCAGCUACUUCCUUAACGAUCAUGGGGGCCGUGGUCUGCUGUGGUCAGUGUGCAACACAGGCCUGCAUCCCAACAGGUGCUGAGCGUGUUGGUCUCUGAUGUUGAAUGGGCUCUUUGUUUCAGAAGAUUCCCCCUCAGAGAGAGGGCAGAGCCAGCAGAGCACCCCUGCCCCAACCUCUCCCCGCACACAGAGUUAUCAGCGGGAGGUGAUGUCGGUGUUUGUUUAUCCCAACGUCUAUGCAACUGUGUUUGAGUAACCCAGCUAUCCUUCAUUAAACGUAUUAGCUUUAAAGAUUGGGAGUAGGUGUGAGCAAACAAUUUAAUAGCAUAAUCUGUAAUCCUCAAAGCUUUUCAG
Molecule: long non-coding RNA, 461 nt
Organism: Oreochromis aureus
Lineage: Eukaryota; Metazoa; Chordata; Actinopteri; Cichliformes; Cichlidae
Source: Ensembl